This 76-nucleotide transfer RNA is filed under the name Planctomycetota bacterium. RNAcentral's name for it is "Planctomycetes bacterium tRNA-Asn". It matches the Rfam family "tRNA". Rfam says of the family: Transfer RNA (tRNA) molecules are approximately 80 nucleotides in length. The record is from RNAcentral. Lineage: Bacteria; Pseudomonadati; Planctomycetota.
UGGGGUGUAGCUCAAUUGGUGGAGCAGCGGACUGUUAAUCCGCAGGUUGGAGGUUCGAGACCUCCCGCCCCAGCCA